This 5219-nucleotide long non-coding RNA is filed under the name Homo sapiens (human). Its description in RNAcentral is "HSALNT0383146". Lineage: Eukaryota; Metazoa; Chordata; Mammalia; Primates; Hominidae. The record is from RNAcentral.
GGCGGCUGGACCCGGCGCGGGCGGGAGGCUCGGGCGGGCGGUCCGGCCCGGGACUCGGGUUUGGGCGACCAGGAGGUGCCGGUGGCCGCGCUCGGACCCGGUGAGUGGCUCCCUAGCUCCUUUUAUUGUCCUUUGUCCUUGGGAGGAAAAGCAAAAUGUCCUUGAGCGCGCGAGCAGGAGGGGGCGGCGGGCCGGGCCUCGCCGCUCGGCUCUUCUCGCACUGCCCCUCCGUGGUCGGGGGCCGGCUCUCGCCGGCGGGAUGCGCCUCGGUGCCCUGGGCCCGAGUCGUAGGGUCCUGGGGUAGGGGGCACGCGGGGCCCCGCUGCAGAGCCCGCGGGCGGCAGGUGGGCGGGGGGCAGCCUCGUCGCCGGGACUGGAUCCGCCGGGAAAGGGGCGGCGGGUGAAUGCCGGCGAGAGCCCGAAGGGGAUCGGGCGUGGAGAGCCCCUUUCUGUCCUGGUGAGUUAUUUUGAUAUUUAGGGUAAAAAAAUCCCUUUCAGGUUCUCCAACGGAGGAGCUUUUUAACCUCUUUCCGGUGAGGUGGGAACUCAUCUUCAUGAUCGAAUUUAAAAGAACAAUGGAACCCUGACUACGUUUCAACAAAAAUAAAACUUGUUUUUUUCCCUCCUAUUGGGUGUUGGCUUUUAACUCUUUCAAAGCCGAUUUUGAAACGGCUGCAGUGAUACAUGCGAAGGUACUUGCUGCUUAUUAAACCUUUAUGACGUUAAGGUUGUCUUUGAAAAAUGCAAGUUGGAGGAGUGCUUCUGGUAUUUCAGAAUUACGAAGACAAGUUUACUGUGUCGUCAAGGCUGUUUAAUGGAAAUAGAUUUGAUAAUUACGGUGCUAGCUAGCUGAUGACGUUUGGUUAAUGUAGUUUAUUUUACCGAGUAAUGACGCCAAGAUCAUUUGAUCUCCUGAUAUUUAAAUAUGAUUAAAUACACUGUUUGGUACUUUUUAAAAAGGUCUCAAGGAGCCGUUAUCUGCAACUUCUCACACCUGAAUGUUAGAACGUACUUGGGUCAAUUCCUAGUCUUUAAAAGUUCAUAAUUUAAUUAUUUUUAAGAAUUUAUAUUAUCACAAGCCAUGAUCGAAAAACUUUCACAAAAGAACAUUCUGACACCAAAUCUCUUCCUGAAGUUACUUUCUCGUAAUGUAAAUAUGAAUAAAGUAGGACUGCUCUCGGUAAUGGGCGAUGAAGAGGAGCCAUAUUUGUUGCAUUUGUUGCAUGUAUAAAAAUCUAGAUAUGCUUAAAACGGAACAGUAUUUUAAAAGUACAGGUUUCAUAAAAUUUAGUAGAGUUCUCUGUAUAGUCUCUAAUCUUAGAAAAAUGUUGGAAGGGUAAUUUUUAAGUGUAGUGGUUUGAAGAACAAACCAGAAGCGCACAAACCUUUGUGUAUUUUAGAAUAUAUUUGUCUUCAUUCUGCGGAGCUCUUGUGUUGUAAAGGUGCAGAACUACGUAAAAAUAGUGUUGGGCAGACUUACAUAGUACAUCUGAAAUCAGAUACUGGUUUAUUCGACCAUAUUUCUAAGGGCAUUUUUCCAGUAAAAUUGUUUUAUUUUUUGAGUAGCCUUCCUAUAGUGGUACAUGUUACAUCAGUUGCGCAUAUCUUGAUUUUACAGAAUCUGUCUUAAGUACCAAUUUUGGUUUUUCAAAUCAAUGUUUCUGAAAUUUUUGAACACUGAAAGUGGUUUUAAAUGAAUAUUCUGAAUCUAGUUCUUUAGAAUCCUCUUUGAAUUGUGAAAUGCAAAAUAAUUGUUAGCAGUUUAACCUGAAAGAUCUUUUUACAUGAUAAAUGGGGGAGGAGAAAGACUGAAAUGAAAAUGUUGAAGACCCUGAUUUGAAAUUGAGUGUAAAGGUCUAGAUACUGUAAGUUUUAGAGUAGCUUUAGAGACAAAGCUAGUAUCCCACUUGGUGAGAUCAAGUAACUUGUGGUUUAAAAUUUAAAGUAACCAGUGGCCAUUUUAACUUCACUAAUUUCUCUUGGAGGAGCUAAUUUUUAAUUGCUCAUGAUUGUAAAACAUACUUCCGGAUGGUAAGGGAGAUGUUAAGAUGAUUUGUCUUGAAGAAUGGUAAACUUUUUCUUUGUUUAUUGCCUGUCAUAAAAAGAGGGAAAGUAAAAAAAAAAAGGUUCAUAAUCUUAAAUCAGUCCAAAAAUUUGAAUUUUCUGUAUUUCUGUUUAAUUCAAUGCGUUAAUCUUUAGCAUUGGUCAAUACAGCCAAAAGAUGAGGAAAACAAAGACUGAUAGAUACUAAGAUAAGAAAUAACUGCAACCAUAAAUGUAUACAGGUUAUGUGUCCAUGAGCCAUCUCUUCAGUUUGCCCAUAGAUUUUUGUCUGUGGAAUAUUUUCUUGUUUCAUCACACUGAAUCGUUGGCCAAGAAAUGCUUGAAAAUCAAAACAUUAAUAUCAUCUUUCUUCUUUUUUUUAAAGGUGACUUAAGAGAUUAAAAUUAAUUUGGUUGCUGUUGGUUCUGAACAAAUAAUGAGUUCUUUUAUUUGAGGUAUGCCAUUUUGAAGACUGAGACGUUGGAGUUUUAUCCUAGAGGAUAAAGGAAAUCUUUGGGAAAGUCAGUAUUUUAUAUAGCAAAAAUAUGAACCUCAAACUGAAUCCUCUAAAGGCCCCAUACAAUGAAGUAGACAUUGGUGGAAACAUUUAAGAUACUCUUACUGAUGAUGUAUAAAUGAACUUUGAUUCAGUAAGGUCAGUUUGUAGGUCUCAAAGUACUUUGGUUAUUGUGGUACAUCAGAAUGAUAGCUAGUAUUUACUGAGAUCUUUCUAUAUGUCAGGUAAUAAAAAUCCUAUAAAAGUAUUCUUUCUACAGCCACAGGAGGUAGGUACUAUUUUUAUUUUACAGAUGAAGAACUGUGGAUUUUGUUUCUAAGAAAAUUUCCAGGCUCACAGAACUAAGCCUAAUUUCUUUUUAUUUUUUAGCAAAUACAGUUUUUAUAAGAAUUUGAAUUCUAUGAAAAUAAAUGGAUUACUCCUAAAUCUCUGAUGCCUCAGUGAACACUUUUUCCUUAUUAACAAAAUUCUCACUUUUGGCUUUGGAUUGGCUUUGCAGGAGUGCAGAUUGAUCAUAGCUUUUUUCAUGUCCUAAGAGUUGUCAGAGUUUUCUCUUGUAGCAUUUUUUUCUUUACUUUUUUUUUUUACUAUCUUUAAAUAUAUGACUGUAAGAGUAUGAUAAAUAUGCUGUUUUCUAAUCUCUGCUGUUGUCACAUAAACUAAUAUAUUUUGAGUAAUUUUGAAAUGAUAUUAAUAAUGUCAUUAGAUUUUCUUUGGAUUUUUUGAAAAAAAUAAUGGUUUUAGAAGGAAAUCUGGAUAAAUUUUAUCUCUGUCCUGUGUCAGAAAAAUAUAAAACUUGAGUUUUUUAAAUUAAGGUACUAAGAUAAAUAAAUUGCAUCUAUAGAUAUUGAAAUAUGACUGUAAUUUGAUAAUGCAUUUUCAUUCUCAGUGUCAUUGUUCAUCAUAAUAGUAUUUACAUCACCAACUUCAUUUAGAGCUUGAAUCUUGUAACAAUAGAGAUUGAAAAUAAAUUGGUUUAUAAUUAACUCUGACAGAGAAUGAUGUUUUUACUUUUAUACUUCUCUAUAGAAGUACAUGUCCCUUAAUUUUAAGGAAUGAACAAGUCAGAUGGAAGAUUUUUACUGAGAUCAGGAAUGAAUUGAGUAAUUUAGUUUUCUUUUUAAAGCUGGGGAGAAAUGAGCAAAAUCAAGGAGAAAUAUCUUGCUUUUGAUAUUUAUUACUGAUGCUGUGACACUCCCUUUAAUCAAUGUUUUUUAAUAUGGGUGGCAGUAUCUCAGUUAACCAAAUAGUUAAGUAAGUAGAUUUUUGUAUUGUAUAUAGUAAACAGUAUCCUAAUUGUUGCCAAGGAGACAAGGAAUUACCUAAUGGGCAAAAAUGCCCUUAUAUUUAUUUACCUCAAAUUCAGUCACACUUGACUGUAUCUCCACAAAUUCAGAUGGAGAGCUGGAAAAUUUAUAGAGAAGACCAGGGUUUAAAUCUUGUUUUUUCAAAUUAUGUUUGGUCAUGAUGAAUCUGAAUCAUUUAUUUAAUGAUAAAAUCAUCUGACUUCUCACUUCUCACUUCUCCCUUCAGUUAAAAUUAUUUAAGUAAUGGAUUUGUUUUUCUAUGAGAGACAUUUGGUAUUUUGGUAAUGAAAGUGUAUUAUUUUAGUUGCAUAUAAUUUGAAAACAGCAUUUUAUGGCAAAUCUAUCAAGCCAGGCAGAUACUUUGCAUUUUUGAUCUUUUUUUUUUUUUUUUUUUUUUGGUGGCUACAUCUUUUCUGUAUUCUCAGAUAUGUCGUUAAAGAUGGUGCCACCUAUAGUGGCCAUUUUCGUUAUCUAAACAAAACCAACAUCUGUUGGAUUGAAAAACUAUGCUAUGAUCGACUGCUUUAUGUGUGUAUGUUUUUUUUUUUUUUCAAAUCCCUUAAGAUUCUUUUCUAUAAUUAGUUUUCUUUGAAGAAGCUUGGAAAGUUUUCUGCAUUGAGAUUUAGAAUCCACAGUGUUUCUGUAAUUUAGCUUUCCAGGAAUUUUGAAUUUUAAUUUUUGUUUUUACUUUUUAUGUACACAGUAUAAUGAUGUUAGUGUUAAAUAUUAAAAAUCUGACUCUUCACUGGGACUUUUUUAUAGAUACAAAUGUAUCUGUGGUAGUACAAGGACUUUGUUACUUUGGCGUGCAGUCUUAUCAAGGAGUUGUGUGUGUGUUUUGCAUACAACUUUACAAUUUCAUAGUUGAAAGCUGUUACAAAAUGAAAGUUUUGUGUAUGGUAGGAUAUCUUCAAGGUGGGUGGAUGUUUUCUGUUUAAAAGAUUAAGAUGCCAACAGCGUUUUUUUCUUUUAAUUUUUUCAUCAAGCACCCAGUCAGCUUGAAGAGUUUCAAAUGGACCCUACCACUGAGAAAUCAAGAUGGCAGUCUACUAUGGGGAAUUGAGGAAAAAUGGAUUAAUACAAGAGUCCUGUGAUAAUAUACAACCAAGACAGGGUUCUUUUAACAUGGAUUCCAUGCAGUGAAUGAAGACAUAGGUUUCUUACCCAACACAAAUGGACAGUGGAUUUGACUUUCUAAAGACUUUUUUUGUGGACAUUUUGACAUUUGGAGAAGAAAGAUGGCACACUAACCCAGAUAAUAGUUUUUAUGCCUGGAAUUUUUUGCAGUUUGAUUUGUAUGCGUAUGACCUCUUGAAAUGUUAAUUUUUAAUAAAAUUUGUAACACUUAAAAA